GACGAACGCUGGCGGCGUGCUUAACACAUGCAAGUCGAACGGAAAGGCCCUGCGUUUGUGGGGUGCUCGAGUGGCGAAAGGGUGAGUAACACGUGAGUAACCUGCCCUUGACUUUGGGAUAACUUCAGGAAACUGGGGCUAAUACCGGAUAGGAGCUCCUGCUGCAUGGUGGGGGUUGGAAAGUUUCGGCGGUUGGGGAUGGACUCGCGGCUUAUCAGCUUGUUGGUGGGGUAGUGGCUUACCAAGGCUUUGACGGGUAGCCGGCCUGAGAGGGUGACCGGCCACAUUGGGACUGAGAUACGGCCCAGACUCCUACGGGAGGCAGCAGUGGGGAAUAUUGCACAAUGGGCGGAAGCCUGAUGCAGCAACGCCGCGUGCGGGAUGACGGCCUUCGGGUUGUAAGCCGCUUUCGCCUGUGACGAAGCGUGAGUGACGGUAAUGGGUAAAGAAGCACCGGCUAACUACGUG
Molecule: ribosomal RNA, 468 nt
Filed under: uncultured bacterium
Lineage: Bacteria
Description: partial 16S ribosomal RNA
Rfam family: Bacterial small subunit ribosomal RNA
Source: RNAcentral